GACGAACGCUGGCGGCGCGCCUAACACAUGCAAGUCGAACGAGCGAGAGAGAGCUUGCUUUCUCAAGCGAGUGGCGAACGGGUGAGUAACGCGUGAGGAACCUGCCUCAAAGAGGGGGACAACAGUUGGAAACGACUGCUAAUACCGCAUAAGCGCACAGCAUCGCAUGAUGCAGUGUGAAAAGCUCCGGCGGUAUGAGAUGGACCCGCGUCUGAUUAGCUAGUUGGCGGGGUAACGGCCCACCAAGGCGACGAUCAGUAGCCGGCCUGAGAGGGUGGACGGCCACAUUGGGACUGAGACACGGCCCAA
This 309-nucleotide ribosomal RNA is filed under the name uncultured bacterium. RNAcentral's name for it is "bacterial SSU rRNA". It matches the Rfam family "Bacterial small subunit ribosomal RNA", at positions 28 to 334 of the family's 1533-position model. The record is from RNAcentral.